ACAUUUGGUAGAGGUUGUGUGGCCACCUGGUCCCAGCAGACCCCAGAGAACAACCACAUUCGCUGGUGCUGGAACAAGGUCAUUAGGGGGAAGCCUGGCACCAGAUGUG
Ribosomal RNA from Panthera pardus (leopard), 109 nucleotides. The record is from Ensembl. Lineage: Eukaryota; Metazoa; Chordata; Mammalia; Carnivora; Felidae.